RNAcentral lists this ribosomal RNA (561 nucleotides) under uncultured bacterium. RNAcentral describes it as "bacterial SSU rRNA". It matches the Rfam family "Bacterial small subunit ribosomal RNA", at positions 361 to 917 of the family's 1533-position model. The record is from RNAcentral.
AUUUUUCUCAUGGGGGAAACCCUGANGACGACGCCGCGUGGAGGAUGAAGGCUUUCGGGUUGUAAACUCCUGUCAUUUGGGAACAAUGCUACCGGGUUAACUGUUCGGUAGUUGAUAGUACCAGAAGAGGAAGAGACGGCUAACUCUGUGCCAGCAGCCGCGGUAAUACAGAGGUCUCAAGCGUUGUUCGGAUUCAUUGGGCGUAAAGGGUGCGUAGGUGGCGCGCUAAGUCAGGUGUGAAAUUUCGGAGCUUAACUCCGAAACUGCAUUUGAUACUGGCGUGCUUGAGGACUGGAGAGGAGACUGGAAUUCACGGUGUAGCAGUGAAAUGCGUAGAGAUCGUGAGGAAGACCAGUGGCGAAGGCGGGUCUCUGGACAGUUCCUGACGCUGAGGCACGAAGGCCAGGGGAGCAAACGGGAUUAGAUACCCCGGUAGUCCUGGCAGUAAACGGUGCACGUUUGGUGUGGGAGGAUUCGACCCCUUCUGCGCCGGAGCUAACGCGUUAAACGUGCCGCCUGGGGAGUACGGUCGCAAGAUUAAAACUCAAAAAAAUUGACGGA